Molecule: non-coding RNA, 72 nt
Organism: Soboliphyme baturini
Lineage: Eukaryota; Metazoa; Nematoda; Enoplea; Dioctophymatida; Soboliphymatidae
Source: Rfam
UCCCGUGUGGUCUAGUGGUUAGGAUAUGCGGCUCUCACCUGCAUGGCCUGGGUUCGAUUCCCGGCACGGGAA